GACCGCGCAUCUGCAAGGAUGCUGGCGUAAUGGUUGUCAGCGACCCGUCUUGAAACACGGACCAAGGAGUCGUCCUAAUAUGCGAGUGUUCGGGUGUAAAACCCCUACGCGUAAUGAAAGUGAACGGAGGUGAGAGCUUCGGCGCAUCAUCGACCGAUCCUGAUGUUCUCGGAUGGAUUUGAGUAUGAGCAUAUUGGGCCGGACCCGAAAGAAGGUGAACUAUGCCUGUAUAGGGUAAAGCCAGAGGAAACUCUGGUGGAGGCUCGCAGCGGUUCUGACGUGCAAAUCGAUCGUCAAAUAUGGGCAUGGGGGCGAAAGACUAAUCGAACCUUCUAGUAGCUGGUUUCCGCCGAAGUUUCCCUCAGGAUAGCAGUGUUGAAUUCUCAGUUUUAUGAGG
This 397-nucleotide ribosomal RNA is filed under the name Lomentospora prolificans. RNAcentral's name for it is "Scedosporium prolificans Eukaryotic large subunit ribosomal RNA". It matches the Rfam family "Eukaryotic large subunit ribosomal RNA", at positions 605 to 1008 of the family's 3401-position model. The record is from Rfam by way of RNAcentral. Lineage: Eukaryota; Fungi; Ascomycota; Sordariomycetes; Microascales; Microascaceae.